This 265-nucleotide ribosomal RNA is filed under the name uncultured prokaryote. Its description in RNAcentral is "partial 16S ribosomal RNA". It matches the Rfam family "Bacterial small subunit ribosomal RNA", at positions 524 to 788 of the family's 1533-position model. The record is from RNAcentral.
UACGAAGGGGGCUAGCGUUGUUCGGAAUUACUGGGCGUAAAGCACACGUAGGCGGAUUGUUUAGUGAGGGGUGAAAUCCCAGGGCUCAACCCUGGAACUGCCUCUCAUACUGGCAAUCUCGAGUUCGAGAGAGGUGAGUGGAAUUCCGAGUGUAGAGGUGAAAUUCGUAGAUAUUCGGAGGAACACCAGUGGCGAAGGCGGCUCACUGGCUCGAUACUGACGCUGAGGUGCGAAAGCGUGGGGAGCAAACAGGAUUAGAUACCCU